Non-coding RNA from Pan troglodytes (chimpanzee), 148 nucleotides. It matches the Rfam family "Metazoan signal recognition particle RNA". From Rfam's summary of the family: The signal recognition particle (SRP) is a universally conserved ribonucleoprotein. It is involved in the co-translational targeting of proteins to membranes. The eukaryotic SRP consists of a 300-nucleotide 7S RNA and six proteins: SRPs 72, 68, 54, 19, 14, and 9. NCBI's taxonomy places the organism in Eukaryota, Metazoa, Chordata, Mammalia, Primates, Hominidae. The record is from Rfam.
GCCAGGUGCAGUGGUGCACACCUGUAGUCCCAGCUACUCAGGAGGCUGAGGCAGGAGGAUUGCUUGAGCCCAGGAGGUCAAGGCUGCAGUGACCUAUGAUCACAUCACUGCACUCCUGCCUGGGCCACAGAGCAAGGCCCUGUCUCUA